Molecule: long non-coding RNA, 645 nt
Organism: Liolophura sinensis
Lineage: Eukaryota; Metazoa; Mollusca; Polyplacophora; Chitonida; Chitonidae
Exons: 3
Source: RefSeq, a predicted model, not a curated record
AUAUAUCAUACGCUCACGGCAUCGCGAGCAAAGCUGUCCGAUAAUUGAAAAGAUUAUGUGGAUAUUUGGUCAAAUAUACACCCACGUUGGAAAUGUUCUCAUAAAAAACACAAAAGCUUUUGGCGAGAGUGAUAUACGUAAAUAUGAUGUAGUGUAUUAAUGAUUCAGCAUGGAAUGGUCAGAUUUACUCUAUUUUAUUUAUUUCACUCUAUUGAGCAUGCAGAAUGUAGAUUUUAACAGAAAAUUUAACAUCAACAAACCUUCCAGUUUAAUGUUAUCUCAAGUCAGGAUAUACUUACUAAAACUUCAGUUAUCAAUAUUGAAGAUAAAAUUUUGACGUUUAAUUGUUUUCAGAACCACGUUGCAAUAGGGCGGUCUGUUGCCAUGUUUCAAGAAAUGAUCGGAGAGAAUGUUGAUACCUACACUUUACAUCAAGCAUACCUACAUUUCGAGGUGCCCUGUAGAGCAGAAGAUGACAAAAUAGCCUCACCUGAGCUACACGAAGAGCUCCCACAGUUUUCGUCAGAAGACUUACAAGUGUCCAGGAUUAUUCCAUUUGCGGACGAGGAACUCAACAAUGAGGAGCAGGAUUCCAACAUGUUUAUUUGUCUAUCUGAUGUCAUUUCACAGGUAUGGAUAAGGGAG